AUUGAACGCUGGCGGCAGGCCUAAUACAUGCAAGUCGAACGGUAACAGGAAGCAGUUUGUUGUUUUGCUGUCGCGUGGCGGACGGGUGUGUCACGUCUGUGACACUGCUUUAUGGCUGGGGUUAACUACUGGAAACGGUAGCUAUUACCGCUUAACUUUGCAACACCAAAGUUCAGUACCUUCGGGCCUCUUUCCAUUCGCUGUUCCCGGAUUGGAUUAGCUAGUAGGUAAGGUAACGGCUCACCUAGGCGACGAUCCCUAGCUGGUCUGAGAGGUUGACCAGCCACACUGGAACUGAGACACGGUCCAGACUCCUACGGGAGGCAGCAGUAGGGAAUAUUGCGCAAUGGGCGAAAGCCUGAUGGAGCAAUGCCGCGUGUAUGAUGAAGGCCUUCGGAUUGUAAAAUACUUUCAGCAGGGAAGAAGAAAGGAGAAAGAAAAUCUGCACUCAUUGACGGUACCUGAAGAGAAAGCAACGGCUAACUACGUG
Molecule: ribosomal RNA, 490 nt
Filed under: uncultured bacterium
Lineage: Bacteria
Description: partial 16S ribosomal RNA
Rfam family: Bacterial small subunit ribosomal RNA
Source: RNAcentral